CAAUAGCGUAUAUUAAAGUUGUUGCAGUUAAAAAGCUCGUAGUUGGAUUUCGGGGCAGCCUGGCUGGUCCGCCGCAAGGCGAGUACUGGUCAGCCGCCCUUCCUCUCGAAAGCCCCGACUGCUCUUCGUUGCAGUGGUCGGGUAGUUCGGGACGUUUACUUUGAAAAAAUUAGCGUGUUCAAGGCAGGCCUACGCCUGAAUACAUUAGCAUGGAAUAAUGGAAGAGGACCUCGGUCCUAUUUUGUUGGUUUCCAGGGCCGAAGUAAUGAUUAAGAGGGACAGUUGGGGGCAUUCGUAUUUAAUUGUCAGAGGUGAAAUUCUCGGAUUUAUGAAAGACGAACAACUGCGAAAGCAUUUGCCAAGGAUGUUUUCAUUAA
RNAcentral lists this ribosomal RNA (377 nucleotides) under uncultured eukaryote. RNAcentral describes it as "partial 18S ribosomal RNA". It matches the Rfam family "Eukaryotic small subunit ribosomal RNA", at positions 592 to 976 of the family's 1831-position model. The record is from RNAcentral.